CCCCUCUCAGGUUCACACCUGCAGAGUUUCCAGCACUCUACCAGUCUCAGCUAUGGGAGGGAGAGUCAAGCAGAGGCCUACCCAUUCCAUGCCUAGCUUGGGCUGUUGCUAGUGAGUGGAAGGCAAUCUGCUACAAGU
This 138-nucleotide small nucleolar RNA is filed under the name Ornithorhynchus anatinus (platypus). Lineage: Eukaryota; Metazoa; Chordata; Mammalia; Monotremata; Ornithorhynchidae. The record is from RNAcentral.